RNAcentral lists this ribosomal RNA (468 nucleotides) under uncultured bacterium. RNAcentral describes it as "partial 16S ribosomal RNA". It matches the Rfam family "Bacterial small subunit ribosomal RNA", at positions 28 to 507 of the family's 1533-position model. The record is from RNAcentral.
GACGAACGCUGGCGGCGUGCUUAACACAUGCAAGUCGAACGGAAAGGCCCUGCUUUUGUGGGGUGCUCGAGUGGCGAACGGGUGAGUAACACGUGAGUAACCUGCCCUUUACUUUGGGAUAACUUCAGGAAACUGGGGCUAAUACCGGAUAGGAGCUCCUGCUGCAUGGUGGGGGUGGGAAAGUUUGGGCGGUUGGGGAUGGACGCGCGGCUUAUCAGCUUGUUGGUGGGGUAGUGGCUUACCAAGGCUUUGACGGGUAGCCGGCCUGAGAGGGUGACCGGCCACAUUGGGACUGAGAUACGGCCCAGACUCCUACGGGAGGCAGCAGUGGGGAAUAUUGCACAAUGGGCGGAAGCCUGAUGCAGCAACGCCGCGUGCGGGAUGACGGCCUUCGGGUUGUAAACCGCUUUCGCCUGUGACGAAGCGUGAGUGACGGUAAUGGGUAAAGAAGCACCGGCUAACUACGUG